RNAcentral lists this ribosomal RNA (497 nucleotides) under uncultured bacterium. Its description in RNAcentral is "partial 16S ribosomal RNA". It matches the Rfam family "Bacterial small subunit ribosomal RNA", at positions 28 to 507 of the family's 1533-position model. The record is from RNAcentral.
GAUGAACGCUGGCGGCGUGCCUAAUACAUGCAAGUCGAGCGAACGGACGAGAAGCUUGCUUCUCUGAUGUUAGCGGCGGACGGGAGAGUAACACGUGGAUAACCUACCUAUAAGACUGGGAUAACUUCGGGAAACCGGAGCUAAUACCGGAUGAUAUUUUGAACCGCAUGGUUCAAAAGUGAAAGACGGUCUUGCUGUCACUUAUAGAUGGAUCCGCGCUGCAUUAGCUAGUUGGUAAGGUAACGGCUUAACAAGGCAACGAUGCAUAGCCGACCUGAGAGGGUGAUCCGCCAGACUGGAACUGAGAAACGGUCCAGACUCCGAGGGGAGGCAGCAGUAGGGAAUCUUCCGCAAUGGGCGAAAGCCUGACGGAGCAACGUCGCGUGAGUGAUGAAGGUCUUCGGAUCGUAAAACUCUGUUAGUAGGGAAGAACAAAUGUGUUAGUAACUGUGAACAUCUUGACGGUACCUAAUCAGAAAGCCACGGCUAACUACGUG